RNAcentral lists this ribosomal RNA (406 nucleotides) under uncultured bacterium. RNAcentral's name for it is "bacterial SSU rRNA". It matches the Rfam family "Bacterial small subunit ribosomal RNA", at positions 355 to 775 of the family's 1533-position model. The record is from RNAcentral.
UCGAGAAUCUUCGGCAAUGGGCGCAAGCCUGACCGAGCGACGCCGCGUGGAGGAAGAAGGCCUUCGGGUUGUAAACUCCUGUUGGGGGGGACCAAUUCAAUGAGGGAACCCCUGAGGAAGCACGGGCUAAGUUCGUGCCAGCAGCCGCGGUAAGACGAACCGUGCGAACGUUAUUCGGAAUCAUUGGGCUUAAAGCGCGCGUAGGCGGCGGCGUAAGUGGAGGGUGAAAUCCUAUCGGCUCAACCGUGGAAUCGCCUUUCAAACUGCGUCGCUUGAGGAAGACAGGGGCACGCGGAACUUCCAGUGGAGCGGUGAAAUGUGUUGAGAUUGGAAGGAACGCCAGUGGCGAAAGCGGCGUGCUGGAUCUUAUCUGACGCUGAGGCGCGAAAGCUAGGGGAGCAAACGG